GGGGCUGUGUGGAGGGGCAAGAGCCUCUGCUUUGCAUGCAGAAGGUCCCGGGUUCAAUCCCUGGCAUUUCCA
This 72-nucleotide transfer RNA is filed under the name Sphaerodactylus townsendi. RNAcentral's name for it is "tRNA-Ala". It matches the Rfam family "tRNA". Rfam says of the family: Transfer RNA (tRNA) molecules are approximately 80 nucleotides in length. Their secondary structure includes four short double-helical elements and three loops (D, anti-codon, and T loops). The record is from RNAcentral. Lineage: Eukaryota; Metazoa; Chordata; Lepidosauria; Squamata; Sphaerodactylidae.